AUGAACGCUGGCGGCGUGCCUAAUACCUGCCAGUCGAGCGAACAGACAAGGAGCUUGCUCCUCUGACGUUAGCGGCGGACGGGUGAGUAACACGUGGAUAACCUACCUAUAAGACUGGGAUAACUUCGGGAAACCGGAGCUAAUACCGGAUAAUAUAUUGAACCGCAUGGUUCAAUAGUGAAAGACGGUUUUGCUGUCACUUAUAGAUGGAUCCGCGCCGCAUUAGCUAGUUGGUAAGGUAACGGCUUACCAAGGCAACGAUGCGUAGCCGACCUGAGAGGGUGAUCGGCCACACUGGAACUGAGACACGGUCCAGACUCCUACGGGAGGCAGCAGUAGGGAAUCUUCCGCAAUGGGCGAAAGCCUGACGGAGCAACGCCGCGUGAGUGAUGAAGUUCUUCGGAUCGUAAAACUCUGUUAUUAGGGAAGAACAAAUGUGUAAGUAACUAUGCACGUCUUGACGGUACCUAAUCAGAAAGCCACGGCUAACUACGUG
This 496-nucleotide ribosomal RNA is filed under the name uncultured bacterium. RNAcentral describes it as "partial 16S ribosomal RNA". It matches the Rfam family "Bacterial small subunit ribosomal RNA", at positions 29 to 507 of the family's 1533-position model. The record is from RNAcentral.